Molecule: long non-coding RNA, 530 nt
Filed under: Lathyrus oleraceus (garden pea)
Lineage: Eukaryota; Viridiplantae; Streptophyta; Magnoliopsida; Fabales; Fabaceae
Description: Pisum sativum (pea) long non-coding RNA (PSAT_LNC000542)
Source: RNAcentral
UAGUUGAGCAAUCUAGUUUUCAAUGGUUUUGAAGCGUGUUCCGUCGGCCAUGGGUUCAAUGAGAGCACCAGUUGUAAUGACUUAAAUAAAAUAGGAAUAAAAUAUCACUGUGUUAUUGAUAUAGCAAGAUGAAAAUCACUCCUAGUACAGUACUAAGAGAGCUAGUGAUAUAAUGGUGACUGUAAUAACAAAAAGAAGUAAUGACAACUUCUCAUAACAGAAUUCCCAGCCAGUGGGUACAGAAAGAGAGAGAAAAGAGACUCACUAAAAUCAAUCACCUUACUCCAUUCCACUAGUUAGUUUUAUACCCUGUCAAUCUAGUGUUAGGAUAUUUGAUCCUCUGGCCACGUCUUGCUUCCACAAUUUCUGGAUCACUAACAACUUUUAUUCCCUCCUGUGCUGCCACAUUCUCUGACUCAGCAUGUUGUGGACCCUCUUCACAUAAGAUCCUCUGGCCACGUCUUGCUUCCACAAUUUCUGGAUCACUAACAACUUUUAUUCCCUCCUGUGCUGCCACAUUCUCUGACUCA